GAAUCAGUACGCUGGUCGUGCCUUCGGUAUGUACUGGUGUCACUGGUUUCUCCCUUCUGAAGAACCAUCAUGCCAUUCACUUGGUGUGGUGGGAAAUCAGGACUGUUACUUUGAAGAAAUUAGAGUGUUUAAGGCAGGCUUGUGCUUGAAUACAUUAGCAUGGGAUAAUGAAAUAGGACU
RNAcentral lists this ribosomal RNA (180 nucleotides) under uncultured Glomeromycotina. RNAcentral describes it as "partial small subunit ribosomal RNA". The record is from RNAcentral. Lineage: Eukaryota; Fungi; Glomeromycota.